This 942-nucleotide ribosomal RNA is filed under the name Arthrobacter psychrochitiniphilus. RNAcentral's name for it is "bacterial SSU rRNA". It matches the Rfam family "Bacterial small subunit ribosomal RNA", at positions 94 to 1037 of the family's 1533-position model. Lineage: Bacteria; Bacillati; Actinomycetota; Actinomycetes; Micrococcales; Micrococcaceae. The record is from RNAcentral.
AGUGGCGAACGGGUGAGUAACACGUGAGUAACCUGCCCUUAACUCUGGGAUAAGCCUUGGAAACGGGGUCUAAUACUGGAUAUUGACUUUACAUCGCAUGGUGUUUGGUUGAAAGAUUUAUUGGUUUUGGAUGGACUCGCGGCCUAUCAGCUUGUUGGUGAGGUAAUGGCUCACCAAGGCGACGACGGGUAGCCGGCCUGAGAGGGUGACCGGCCACACUGGGACUGAGACACGGCCCAGACUCCUACGGGAGGCAGCAGUGGGGAAUAUUGCACAAUGGGCGAAAGCCUGAUGCAGCGACGCCGCGUGAGGGAUGACGGCCUUCGGGUUGUAAACCUCUUUCAGUAGGGAACAAGGCCAGACGUUGUCUGGUUGAGGGUACUUGCAGAAGAAGCGCCGGCUAACUACGUGCCAGCAGCCGCGGUAAUACGUAGGGCGCAAGCGUUAUCCGGAAUUAUUGGGCGUAAAGAGCUCGUAGGCGGUUUGUCGCGUCUGCCGUGAAAGUCCGGGGCUCAACCCCGGAUCUGCGGUGGGUACGGGCAGACUAGAGUGAUGUAGGGGAGACUGGAAUUCCUGGUGUAGCGGUGAAAUGCGCAGAUAUCAGGAGGAACACCGAUGGCGAAGGCAGGUCUCUGGGCAUUAACUGACGCUGAGGAGCGAAAGCAUGGGGAGCGAACAGGAUUAGAUACCCUGGUAGUCCAUGCCGUAAACGUUGGGCACUAGGUGUGGGGGACAUUCCACGUUUUCCGCGCCGUAGCUAACGCAUUAAGUGCCCCGCCUGGGGAGUACGGCCGCAAGGCUAAAACUCAAAGGAAUUGACGGGGGCCCGCACAAGCGGCGGAGCAUGCGGAUUAAUUCGAUGCAACGCGAAGAACCUUACCAAGGCUUGACAUGAACUGGAAAUACCUGGAAACAGGUGCCCCGCUUGCGGUCGGUUUACAG